Molecule: ribosomal RNA, 111 nt
Filed under: Planctomycetes bacterium DG_58
Lineage: Bacteria; Pseudomonadati; Planctomycetota
Source: RNAcentral
CCCGGUGACCAUAGCGGCGGGGUCACACCCGUUCCCAUUCCGAACACGGUCGUUAAGCCCGUCUGCGCCGAUGGUAGUGCCGAGAGGUGCGAGAGUAGGACGUUGCCGGGG